UCCUGCCUCAGCCUCCCGAGUAGCCAGGACUACAGGCACCUGUCACCACACCUGACUAAUUUUUUUGUAUUUUUAGUAGAGAUGGGGUUUCACCAUGUUGGUCAGGCUGGUCUCAAACUCCUGACCUCAUGAUCCGCCCGCCUUGGCCUCUCAAUAUUUUCUUGUAGUAGUUUCAUAGUUUGAGGUCUUAAAUUUAAGUGUUUAAUCUAUUUAGAUUUGACUUUUGUAUAAUGUGGGAGAUAGGGGUCUAGUUUCAUUUUUCUGUAUGUGGAUAUCCAGUUUUCCCAGCACCAUUUAUUGAAGAGACUGUCCUUUCCGCAAUGUAUGUUUUUGGUACCUUCAUUGAAAAUGAAUUUGCUGUAGAUGUAUGGAUUUAUUUUUGGAUUCUUUGUUUUAUUCCAUUGGUCUAUAUGUCUGUUUUGAUGCUGUUACUGUGCCAUUUUGGUAACUAUAGCUCUAUAGUAUAAUUUAAAGUCAGUUUGAAGUAUACUAUAGAGUUAUAGUUUUACUAUAAUUGUACUGUAGAGCUCCAGUUUUGUUCUUUUUCUUAGGAUAGCUUUGGCUAUUCUGGGUCUUUUGUAGUUGCAUAUAAAUUUUAGGACUUUUUUUUCUAUUUCUGUGAAGAAUGUCAUUGGUAUUUUGGUAGGAAUUGCAUUAAAUCUCUAGAUUGCUUUGCAUAGUAUGGACAUCUUAACAAUAUUGAUUCUCCUAAUCCAUGAACAUGGAAUAUCUUUUAAUUUUUUUGGUGUCCUCUUCAAUUUCUUGGAUCAGUGUGUUAUAGUUUUCAUUGUAGAGAUUUUUCACUUUAUUGGUUAAUUCCUAGGUAUUUUAUUUUAUUUGUAGCUACUGUAAAUGUCAUUACUUUAUUGAUUUCUUUUCAGAUCGUUCACUGCUGGCAUAUAGAAAUGUUGCUGACUUUUGUAUGUUGAUUUUGUGUCCUGCAUCUUUAUUGAAUUUAUCAGCUUUAAUAGUUUUUUUGUGGAGUUUUUAUGUUUUUCCAAAUACAAGAUCAUAUCAUCUGCAAACAAGGAUAAUUUGACUUCUUCCUUUCCAAUUUGGAUACCCUUUAUUUCUUUUGUCUGAUUGCUCUAGCUAGGACUUUCCAAUACUAUGUUGAAUAACAGUAGUGACAGUGGACAUCCUUGUCGUGUUCCAAAUCUUACGGAAAAAGCUUUCAGUUUUUCCCCAUUCAGUAUAUUAGUUGUGGGUCUGUCAUAUGUGGCUUUUGUUAUUUUGAGGUUUGUUCCUUCUAUACCCAAUUUUUUGAGGGUGUUUAUCACGAAGAAAUGUUGAAAUUUAUAAAAUGAUUACAUUGCUUUUGUCCUUCAUUUUCUUGACAUAAUGUAUCACAUUGAUUGAUUUGCAUAUACUGAACCAUCUUUGCAUCCCCGGGAUAAAUCUCACGGGGUCAUAAUGAAUGAUCUUUUAAAUGUGUUGCUGAAUUUAGUUUGCUAGUAUUUUGUUGAGGAUGUUUGCAUUAAUAUUCAUCAGGAAUAUUGGGCCCUACUUUUCUUUUUUGCUAUGUCUUUGUCUGGUUUUGCUAUCAGGAUCAUACUGGCCUCAGAAUGAGUUUGGAAGUAUUCCCUCUUCCCCUGUUUUUUGGAAUAGUUUGAGUAGGAUUGUUAUUAGUUCAUUAAAUGGUUGGUAGAAUUCAGCAGUGAAGUCUUCAGAUCUUGGGCUUUUCUUUGUCGGGAGACAUUUUAUUAUGGCAUUGAUCUCGUUACUUGUUAUUGGUCUAUUCAGGUUUUGGAUUUCUUCAUGGUUCAAUCUUGGUAAGUUGUAUGUGUCUAUGAAUUUAUCCAUUUCUUCUAGAUUUUCCAAUUUAUUGGUGAAUUGUUGCUAAUAGUAACCACUAAUGAUCCCUUGAAUUUCUUUCUUUCUUUUUUUUUUUUUUUAAUUGAUCAUUCUUGGGUGUUUCUCGCAGAGGGGGAUUUGGCAGGGUCAUA
Molecule: long non-coding RNA, 1946 nt
Filed under: Homo sapiens (human)
Lineage: Eukaryota; Metazoa; Chordata; Mammalia; Primates; Hominidae
Description: HSALNT0330304
Source: RNAcentral